CCUACGGAGGCAGCAGUGGGGAAUAUUGCACAAUGGGGGGAACCCUGAUGCAGCGACGCCGCGUGGGUGAGGAAGUACUUCGGUAUGUAAAGCCCUAUCAGCAGGGAAGAAAAUGACGGUACCUGACUAAGAAGCCCCGGCUAACUACGUGCAAGCAGCCGCGGUAAUACGUAGGGGGCAAGCGUUAUCCGGAUUUACUGGGGGUAAAGGGAGCGUAGACGGCGUGCCAAGUCUGGUGUGAAAGGCCGGGGCUCAAACCCGGGACUGCAUUGGAAACUGGCAUGCUGGAGUGCAGGAGAGGUAAGCGGAAUGCCUGGUGUAGCGGUGAAAUGCGUAGAGAUCAGGAGGAACACCGGCGGCGAAGGCGGCUUACUGGACUGUAACUGACGUGGAGGCUCGAAGGCGUGGGGAGCAAACAGGAUUAGAUACCCCAGUAGUC
Molecule: ribosomal RNA, 439 nt
Filed under: uncultured bacterium
Lineage: Bacteria
Description: partial 16S ribosomal RNA
Rfam family: Bacterial small subunit ribosomal RNA
Source: RNAcentral